This 492-nucleotide ribosomal RNA is filed under the name uncultured bacterium. RNAcentral describes it as "partial 16S ribosomal RNA". It matches the Rfam family "Bacterial small subunit ribosomal RNA", at positions 29 to 507 of the family's 1533-position model. The record is from RNAcentral.
AGUGAACGCUGGCGGUAGGCCUAACACAUGCAAGUCGAACGGCAGCACAGUAAGAGCUUGCUCUUACGGGUGGCGAGUGGCGGACGGGUGAGGAAUACAUCGUAAUCUACUUUUUCGUGGGGGAUAACGUAGGGAAACUUACGCUAAUACCGCAUACGACCUACGGUUGAAAGCAGGGGAUCGUCGGACCUUGCGCGAUUGAAUGAGCCGAUGUCGGAUUAGCUAGUUGGCGGGGUAAAGGCCCACCAAGGCGACGAUCCGUAGCUGGUCUGAGAGGAUGAUCAGCCACACUGGAACUGAGACACGGUCCAGAGUCCUACGGGAGGCAGCAGUGGGGAAUAUUGGACAAUGGGGGCAAGCCUGAUACAGCCAUACCGCGUGGGUGAAGGAGGCCUUCGGGUUGUAAAGACCUUUUGUUGGGAAAGAAAAGCAGCAGGUUAAUACCACGCUGUUCUGACGGUACCCAAAGAAUAAGCACCGGCUAACUUCGUG